AGGCUGGAGGCGCGCCGGCGUGAUUCUGACCGCGGGAGCCGGGAGGAGGAGCCGGAGGUGGCUGCGGGGGGCUCCGGCCCAGUCGAAGGAAGGGCAAGAAGCGGUUCGGGCCGGGGGUGGCGCCGGGAGGUGGCCUUGGCCCCCGGGGCUGGAGAAAGGGCUUAGGCGUAGCGGACAUUCCCCUUUUCUGACAUUAAAGCUACGAGUCAUCAAGCUGACCCCCUCUCAUCCCUUGGCCUGAAGAAGAGGGUGUCUCAGGGCCCAGGGAUAAGCGGGAAUGGACCGGAGGGAGCCACAAGUCUGCACCCAGGCGGGGAGGAGGCGGGCAGGAGCGGCUCCGCAGGCGCAGGCGAGUGGGUGGGAAGGAGGGAGGGAGAGAGGGGAGAGGGAGGAAGGAGGUGAGGCCGGGAAGAUGCCUCUGCCGGGGGCGGGGCGGGGCCGGGGAUCCGGGAGAGGGACUGCAGCGGUGCUUGGUGGGGGCGGGGGCUGCAAUGUCACUCAUGUGGGAGUCAGGUGUGUAAGUCCCAGGCUCGGGCCGCCGCUUGCCUACAUCUUCCCGGUACUACCCAGGGCUCAGGGGUGGAGGCGGACGGCAGGGGACUGCAGAACCGUCCCCAGAGCGGGACGCGAACCGGCAGACUUGGAAGAAGAGCCUCCGCGUCCGGGAGCUGAGCAUGCUGCCCCCGCGUGCAGAGCCCGCGUGCACCCAGCCCGGAGAGGGGGCGACAGGGCGGAGGCGGUGGCCCCCGGAAGGUGUCUGGGACCGG
Molecule: long non-coding RNA, 767 nt
Organism: Aethalodelphis obliquidens (Pacific white-sided dolphin)
Lineage: Eukaryota; Metazoa; Chordata; Mammalia; Artiodactyla; Delphinidae
Exons: 3
Source: RefSeq, a predicted model, not a curated record